RNAcentral lists this non-coding RNA (24 nucleotides) under Arabidopsis thaliana (thale cress). Lineage: Eukaryota; Viridiplantae; Streptophyta; Magnoliopsida; Brassicales; Brassicaceae. RNAcentral also lists the same sequence under 4 other names. The record is from RNAcentral.
CUUGUCUCAAAGAUUAAGCCAUGC